RNAcentral lists this ribosomal RNA (496 nucleotides) under uncultured bacterium. RNAcentral's name for it is "partial 16S ribosomal RNA". It matches the Rfam family "Bacterial small subunit ribosomal RNA", at positions 28 to 506 of the family's 1533-position model. The record is from RNAcentral.
GACGAACGCUGGCGGCGUGCCUAAUACAUGCAAGUUGAGCGCUGAAGGUUGGUACUUGUACCAACUGGAUGAGCAGCGAACGGGUGAGUAACGCGUGGGGAAUCUGCCUUUGAGCGGGGGACAACAUUUGGAAACGAAUGCUAAUACCGCAUAAAAACUUUAAACACAAGUUUUAGGUUUGAAAGAUGCAAUUGCAUCACUCAAAGAUGAUCCCGCGUUGUAUUAGCUAGUUGGUGAGGUAAAGGCUCACCAAGGCGAUGAUACACAGCCGACCUGAGAGGGUGAUCGGCCACAUUGGGACUGAGACACGGCCCAAACUCCUACGGGAGGCAGCAGUAGGGAAUCUUCGGCAAUGGACGAAAGUCUGACCGAGCAACGCCGCGUGAGUGAAGAAGGUUUUCGGAUCGUAAAACUCUGUUGGUAGAGAAGAACGUUGGUGAGAGUGGAAAGCUCAUCAAGUGACGGUAACUACCCAGAAAGGGACGGCUAACUACGU